AUUGAACGCUGGCGGCAUGCCUUACACAUGCAAGUCGAACGGCAGCACGGGAGCAAUCCUGGUGGCGAGUGGCGAACGGGUGAGUAAUGUAUCGGAACGUGCCUUGUCGUGGGGGAGUAACGUAGCGAAAGACUACGCUAAUACCGCAUACCAUCUAAGGAUGAAAGACGGGGGAGUCGCAAGACCUCGCGCGACAAGAGUGGCCGAUAUCAGAUUAGGUUGUUGGUGGGGUAAAGGCCUACCAAGCCGACGAUCUGUAGCUGGUCUGAGAGGACGACCAGCCACACUGGGACUGAGACACGGCCCAGACUCCUACGGGAGGGCAGCAGUGGGGAAUUUUGGACAAUGGGCGAAAGCCUGAUCCAGCAAUGCCGCGUGCAGGAUGAAGGCCUUCGGGUUGGUAAACUGCUUUGUUACAGAACGAAACAAGUCUCUCCUAAUACGGGGGGCGGAA
RNAcentral lists this ribosomal RNA (454 nucleotides) under uncultured bacterium. RNAcentral describes it as "bacterial SSU rRNA". It matches the Rfam family "Bacterial small subunit ribosomal RNA", at positions 30 to 477 of the family's 1533-position model. The record is from RNAcentral.